CUGGCGGCAUGCCUUACACAUGCAAGUCGAACGCGAAAGCGGGGCAACCCGCAAGUAGAGUGGCGAACGGGUGAGUAAUACAUCGGAACAUUUCCAGUAGCGGGGGAUAACCUGUCGAAAGAUAGGCUAAUACCGCAUACGACCUACGGGUGAAAGCGGAGGACCGCAAGGCUUCGCACUAUUGGAGUGGCCGAUGUCGGAUUAGCUAGUUGGCGGGGUAAAAGCCCACCAAGGCUACGAUCCGUAGCUGGUCUGAGAGGACGAUCAGCCACACUGGAACUGAGACACGGUCCAGACUCCUACGGGAGGCAGCAGUGGGGAAUUUUGGACAAUGGGCGCAAGCCUGAUCCAGCCAUGCCGCGUGAGUGAAGAAGGCCUUCGGGUUGUAAAGCUCUUUCGGUGGGGACGAAACGGUUCGUGCUAAUACCACGGACUAAUGACGGUACCCGAAGAAGAAGCACCGGCUAACUACGUGCCAGCAGCCGCGGUAAUACGUAGGGUGCAGGCGUUAAUCGGAAUUACUGGGCGUAAAGCGUGCGCAGGCGGUUUGCUAAGACAGAUGUGAAAUCCCCGGGCUUAACCUGGGAACUGCGUUUGUAACUGGCAAGCUAGAGUGUGGCAGAGGGGGGUAGAAUUCCAGGUGUAGCAGUGAAAUGCGUAGAUAUCUGGAGGA
Molecule: ribosomal RNA, 673 nt
Filed under: uncultured bacterium
Lineage: Bacteria
Description: bacterial SSU rRNA
Rfam family: Bacterial small subunit ribosomal RNA
Source: RNAcentral